AAAGAGUGCGUAACAGCUCACUAGUCGAGUGACCCUGCGCCGAAAAUGUACCGGGGCUAAGCCUGAUACCGAAACUGCGGAUUGUAGGAAACUAUAGUGGUAGGGGAGCGUUGUAUACGAGCAGAAGCCGUACCGUGAGGAGCGGUGGAUUGUAUAGAAGUGAGAAUGCCGGUGUGAGUAGCGAGAUGUAGGUGAGAAUCCUACACACCGAAAGCCCAAGGAUUCCAGGGGAAGGUUCGUCCGCCCUGGGUAAGUCGGGACCUAACGCGAGGCCGAAAGGCGUAGUGGAUGGAAAGCAGGCGAAAGAUUCCUGCACCCGUAUAUGGAGCGAAGGAGUGACGGAGACGGAUAGUGUGACCCUCUUAAUGGAUUGAGGGCGAAGCGAAGCGGCUGGUUACCAGGCAAAUCCGGUAACCUCAAGGCUAGGGCGUGACAGGCAAGCGAAAUCCAAGGAAAGUAGCGAAGCACAUGAUGACGGCUUCCAGGAAAAGCUUCUGGCAAUGCAUAUGCGGCCCGUACCAAAACCGACACAGGUGGGCAGGGAGAGAAUCCCGAGGUGAGCGAGAGAACUGUUGCCAAGGAACUCGGCAAAAUGACUCCGUAAGUUAGCGAGAAGGAGUGCUUAAGCAAUUAAGCCGCAGUGAAGAGGCCCAAGCGACUGUUUAACUAAAACACAGCUCUCUGCGAAGUCGCAAGACGAAGUAUAGGGGGUGACACCUGCCCGGUGCUGGAAGGUUAAGAGGAUCUGUUAAGAGCGAUCUGAAGCAGUGAUCCGAAGCCCCAGUGAACGGCGGCCGUAACUAUAACGGUCCUAAGGUAGCGAAAUUCCUUGUCAGGUAAGUUCUGACCCGCACGAAAGGUGUAACGAUUUGGGCGCUGUCUCGGCAGCAGACUCGGUGAAAUCUUAGUACCUGUGAAAAUGCAGGUUACCCGCAACUAGACGGAAAGACCCCAUGGAGCUUUACUGCAGCCUGAUAUUGAAUUCUGGUCAUACAUGUACAGGAUAGGUGGGAGACAAAGAGACGUGCACGCCAGUGUACGAGGAGUCGGCGUUGGGAUACCACUCUUGUGUGACCGGGGUUCUAACCUGGUAUCGAGAACAGGUACGGGGAGAGUGUCAGGUGGGCAGUUUGACUGGGGCGGUCGCCUCCCAAAGAGUAACGGAGGCGCCCAAAGGUACGCUCAGAUUGGAUGGAAACCAAUCGUCGAGUGCAAUUGCAGAAGCGUGCUUGACUGUGAGACAGACAAGUCGAACAGGGACGAAAGUCGGGAAUAGUGAUCCGGCGGUGCCGAAUGGAAGGGCCGUCGCUCAACGGAUAAAAGCUACCCUGGGGAUAACAGGCUGAUCUCGCCCAAGAGUUCACAUCGACGGCGAGGUUUGGCACCUCGAUGUCGGCUCAUCGCAUCCUGGAGCUGGAUUCGGUUCCAAGGGUUGGGCUGUCCGCCCAUUAAAGCGGUACGCGAGCUGGGUUCAGAACGUCGUGAGACAGUUCGGUC
This 1497-nucleotide ribosomal RNA is filed under the name human gut metagenome. RNAcentral describes it as "bacterial LSU rRNA". It matches the Rfam family "Bacterial large subunit ribosomal RNA", at positions 1125 to 2636 of the family's 2925-position model. The record is from RNAcentral.